GCAGGGUUAGUAUAUCGGUAAUACAGCGGCUUCCCAAGCCGCGGAGGCGGGUUCGACUCCCGUACCCUGCU
RNAcentral lists this transfer RNA (71 nucleotides) under Frisingicoccus caecimuris. It matches the Rfam family "tRNA". Rfam says of the family: Transfer RNA (tRNA) molecules are approximately 80 nucleotides in length. Their secondary structure includes four short double-helical elements and three loops (D, anti-codon, and T loops). Further hydrogen bonds mediate the characteristic L-shaped molecular structure. tRNAs have two regions of fundamental functional importance: the anti-codon, which is responsible for specific mRNA codon recognition, and the 3' end, to which the tRNAs corresponding amino acid is attached (by aminoacyl-tRNA synthetases). tRNAs cope with the degeneracy of the genetic code in two manners: having more than one tRNA (with a specific anti-codon) for a particular amino acid; and 'wobble' base-pairing, i.e. permitting non-standard base-pairing at the 3rd anti-codon position. Lineage: Bacteria; Bacillati; Bacillota; Clostridia; Lachnospirales; Lachnospiraceae. The record is from Rfam by way of RNAcentral. RNAcentral also lists the same sequence under 3 other names.